GUGGAAAUCCCAUGUCAUUGUAUCAGCAACAACAUAGGAACAAAAGACAAGGCUCCUAAAUCAACAUUUACAAAUUCUCAGAUUUGGUCAACACAAGUGAAGAGAACUGGCUAUAACAUGCAAAUAAAGCUGGCUAUCCAAACAUCAAACUAUUAUCACAAUGAUAAAAACUGAAUGCUGGUUCUUGAAUUUCUUGGCACUUAAGAAUAAUUCCUAAAGCAGUUUGAAUUUCCCCCCGUCACGCCACAAUUACCGCGCCAUUGUUGGUUUCACUAUGCAUCGUUGACUCCAUUAGCUUUAGCAGUGCUGUUGUGCUUCUGAGCUUCUUCUCCAUCCUCUGGGAUGUUAGAAGUCCAUAAGGUGAGAUUGUCCCUCAAAAGCUGCAUGAUCAAUGUGCUAUCUUUGUAAGAUUCCUCACUCAAAGCAUCCAGCUCAGAGAUAGCUU
RNAcentral lists this unclassified non-coding RNA (445 nucleotides) under Hevea brasiliensis (rubber tree). The record is from RNAcentral. Lineage: Eukaryota; Viridiplantae; Streptophyta; Magnoliopsida; Malpighiales; Euphorbiaceae.